Long non-coding RNA from Strigops habroptila (Kakapo), 3073 nucleotides. Lineage: Eukaryota; Metazoa; Chordata; Aves; Psittaciformes; Psittacidae. The record is from Ensembl.
GGAAUCCUGCUUCACCAGCCUGCACGCUUCAGGAUGGGUACAGAUCCCAAACGUCUGCAGGGCUAGUGAUAAUUUCCAUCUGAAUCGCUGUGCAAGAUUUCACCAGCAAAACGAUGCACUGGUUUCAUUUCCACAAGUCUGCUCAAGUGCUUGUGCAAUAGAUUUUGGGGUUUAUAUACAUGUCCUCCUUACUGCAAAUACUGUGUGCUCAGAAAGAGAAAGAGCAAUUUUUUUCUAUUGAUCAAGCGAGUGAACAGCCAUUCAUUUAGCAGAGUAUCUGUAUGUUCUGUACAAUUCAAAUGCUGCCUAUUCAGCUAGUCAGAUAUCUUUGUUCUAUGUCCAAGUAGGCAUUUAUUCAUCACUGCAUAGCACUGCAAUUCAAAGGCUCAGAUGUUUAAAGAUAUAUAUAGGCGAUAUUUGGCUUGCACUGGCAUGCCUAAAUGACUUGGACAUCCAAGUCUCAUUGGACAACUAAGUCCUCUUGUUAAAGGGAAACAGAAACCUAGGUUCUGAUGGCUAACACUCAGGCACCUACAUCACUUCCACUAUAUCUCCUAGAUGUUUGAAGGAUCUAUUUUCUGUGACCAUAAUAAGCUUAUGUAGCAUAGAUAGAUGUAUGUGUAUCAAGUUAAGGGAUGGGUAUAUCCAGUGACAUGUUCUGCCUUCUGAAAUUUGCUGCUUUAGAACCCAAGUAGUUAUUUAAUCCGUACACAGAAGAAUUUGACUGGGAGGCUACAGCUGGUGUGCUGCAGUUGAUGCUUAUUAAACACAUAAUCAUUUCAAUCUUACCUUGUGCUUCCCCAUCUGUCUGUAUCUACUCUGUAACUCAUCUUCCGUUCAGUCAUGAGCUCUUUGGGAUAGGGACUAUCCUUUCACCGAGUUUAUACAGUGCCAAGUACAACAGAUCUGCAGACCUGCACCCAAACAGAGGUGAUGGCACUCACCACGAAAACUUCCCAUGUGGUAGAAGGGGAUUAUUUUCAAUACUUCCAUGUGUUGGAUUUACUUGGAGAGUUACUAGGAAGAUGUUUCUGUUUGUUGUUUAAGCUUUUGAUGGUCUAUUCUGACCUCCUGUAUACCACAGCCCCUAGACAUUCAUCCUUUUAUUCCCAAGUCGUGGAGAGUGGUGUGUGUUUGACUGGAGACUGACUUCUGGAAAGGCAUCCAGUCGCGUUGUGAUGAGAUCAAACAGGGAAGAAAGAGAUGUUCAUCUCUAUUCUAGUGACCCACUGCCAUCACAGCUGAAUGUCUUGUGCCUUGUUCCUAAUUCUAGCGAACUCUCAUGAACGUGCUUUCUCUGCCAGACAGUUGUAUCUUACAGGACUUGAAUAAUAAGAGUAAUAGUAAUGAAUAAGCACCUCGUAACUAUUUGCAUGAUAUCUGCAUCCAAUAAGGCAGCGUUCCAAGUGACACAGGUGUCGGUAUCAAAUUGAGAGUGGCUCAGUCUCUCUUGGCAAUAAUAAAAAAGCUGCCAGUCUUCUUGCUUCACCAACAUCUUCUGUCACCUCCAGAAAACCAUAAGUUUCCUUUGCUUUUACUUUGGUUUCCAAACAAACAAACAGAGAAGACACCAACCUUUCCAAGUCUUGUGCAUCACCUACAGAAGCGGGUCUACUUAUGCCUACUCCUUAGCUCAACUACCAGUUUUAACUGGGGGUUGAGUUGUCCCUUAGUAUAUCCUGAGUUUGUUCAGAGCAGAAUUUAAGGUAUCUCCAGAGGAGUUCCCUUUUCAUGGAGCACCUUAUAGACAGCACAGUGUGCUCCACUCACCGGUGCCUGCCAGCAGAGCAGAUCAGCACUAAGGCCACAAGGAUAAUCAGGGGUCUGGAGCAUCUCUCAUGAGGAGAGAUUGCAGGAGCUGGGCCUGUUUAGUCUAGAGAAGACUGAGAGAGGUUCUCAUUAAUGCAUAUAUAUGUCUCAAAGGGGGGUGCCAGGAGGAUGGUGACAGACUCUUUUCAGUGGUGCCCAGCGACAGGACGAGGAGCAAUGGCCAUAAACUAAAACACGAACAGUUUCACUUCAACAUGAGGAAGAACUUCUUUAUGCUGAGGGUGGCAGAGCACUGGCACAGGCUGCCCAGUGGGGUUGUAGAAUCUCCCUCUCUGGAAACAUUCAAAACCCACCUGGACACGUUCCUGUGUAACCUGCUCUAGAUGGUCCUGUCUUGGCAGGGGGUUGGACAAGAUGAGAGAUCCCUUCAACCCUAACAAUUCUGUGAUUCUAUGACACUUGACCUUCUCAUCCUUUCUUCCCUCCUACAAGGCAGCAGCUUUGCCUGCAGAAGGCGCAGGGAGCACCGACACGCGUCAUGGUACUAUCUUCAACUUGCUAUUGUGCGUGUGUGGUUUUUUGGAACCAACUCAACAUACGUGAAGGAGAGUUUAACCAGAAAAGGAAAUAUAAGCAAAGUGGUUGCAUCCUUUUGCAAUCAACUAUUUUCAAGGCUGGCCGUCAUGUGCUUAAUGAGGAGGCUUUUUCCAGUUACCAAUGAAUAGUUUUAUUUUACGUAAUUGCAACCAUUUCAGCAUGGCAAUUAAGAUAGAAUGUUACCUUUGGGAUGGGAUCAAUUAAAGGUUUGAAAAUUGAAUUUGGGAUCAUGAUUAGUCUCUUUUACAUCGCUUUAGUAUUCUAAAAUAUAUAAUUGUAUGAUUCGACCCUUUUUCAUACAUACAGUAAAUACAACCUUUCAGGGUUUCUUUUUAAGCAGAAACAGAUUUUUAGAGGCCUACUGGUAACUAAAACCACAGCAGAAUGGGAGAAAAAGGGUUUCCCCUAUUUGAUUAGAGGAGAUUUUAAACUUAUAGUACAUGAAAAUGUUGAAUUUAGUGUAAUUGGUUGUCGGAUUUCUUCAGAAUUGAAAUCAUUAUGCCCUGGCCACAUUCCAAGACAUCUUUUCUUUAUUUUAUUCUCUUUUUUUUUUUUUCCUUUUUUUUUUUUUUUUUAAGUUACAAUUCAAAACAGUGUGGAACACGCUAUAAUGUUGUAGUUGGUCAUGUAAUGUCACCGAAGCUGACUUCUGAAUAUAGACAAAGGACUUCAUGUACCGAAGUGCUCCAGCGGUGGAAAAUUGAUA